Molecule: transfer RNA, 71 nt
Filed under: Euphaea ochracea
Lineage: Eukaryota; Metazoa; Arthropoda; Insecta; Odonata; Euphaeidae
Description: tRNA-Val
Rfam family: tRNA
About the family: Transfer RNA (tRNA) molecules are approximately 80 nucleotides in length. Their secondary structure includes four short double-helical elements and three loops (D, anti-codon, and T loops).
Source: RNAcentral
CAAAUUAUGGCUCUAUUAGAGAGCUUCUCAUUUACACUGAGAGGGUUACUGUGCAAUUCAGUUUGAUUUGA